GAUGAACGCUGGCGGCGUGCCUAAUACAUGCAAGUCGAGCGAACGGACGAGAAGCUUGCUUUUCUGAUGUUAGCGGCGGACGGGUGAGUAACACGUGGAUAACCUACCUAUAAGACUGGGAUAACUUCGGGAAACCGGAGCUAAUACCGGAUAAUAUUUUGAACCGCAUGGUUCAAAAGUGGAAGACGGUCUUGCUGUCACUUAUAGAUGGAUCCGCGCUGCAUUAGCUAGUUGGUAAGGUAACGGCUUACCAAGGCAACGAUGCAUAGCCGACCUGAGAGGGUGAUCGGCCACACUGGAACUGAGACACGGUCCAGACUCCUACGGGAGGCAGCAGUAGGGAAUCUUCCGCAAUGGGCGAAAGCCUGACGGAGCAACGCCGCGUGAGUGAUGAAGGUCUUCGGAUCGUAAAACUCUGUUAUUAGGGAAGAACAUAUGUGUAAGUAACUGCGCACAUCUUGACGGUACCUAAUCAGAAAGCCACGGCUAACUACGUG
RNAcentral lists this ribosomal RNA (497 nucleotides) under uncultured bacterium. RNAcentral's name for it is "partial 16S ribosomal RNA". It matches the Rfam family "Bacterial small subunit ribosomal RNA", at positions 28 to 507 of the family's 1533-position model. The record is from RNAcentral.